GUUGACCUCGGAUCAGGUAGGGAUACCCGCUGAACUUAAGCAUAUCAAUAAGCGGAGGAAGA
This 62-nucleotide ribosomal RNA is filed under the name Neofusicoccum parvum. Its description in RNAcentral is "partial 28S ribosomal RNA". It matches the Rfam family "Eukaryotic large subunit ribosomal RNA", at positions 1 to 60 of the family's 3401-position model. Lineage: Eukaryota; Fungi; Ascomycota; Dothideomycetes; Botryosphaeriales; Botryosphaeriaceae. The record is from RNAcentral.